Molecule: long non-coding RNA, 2079 nt
Filed under: Homo sapiens (human)
Lineage: Eukaryota; Metazoa; Chordata; Mammalia; Primates; Hominidae
Description: HSALNT0371761
Source: RNAcentral
GAUCCACCCAUCUUGGCCUCCCAAUGUGCAGGGAUUACAGGCAUAAGCCACAGAGCCCGGCCUACAUAUUGCUUAUUAUUCAUACUUAAAAGCGCAUGCCUGGGAAUCGGGGGCUGGAGAGGGCUGAAGGCUCCCCAAGCCACCUUCCCAAAUCCUACGUCUCAUCUGUGCCAUGAAAGGGGCAGGUUAGAUGUCAGCGUUUCCCACACUAGCCUGAGUGUAAGCAUCCACUGAGGGAACUUCCAAAUAAUACAGACUCCCAGAUCACGCUGAUUCCAGGAGGUCUGGGACGGGUGCAAGGAAUUUCAAGAAGUAACAUCAAGUUAUUCUUAUGCUCAGAGAAGGCUAAUAAAUUUGGGGCGAGGCCAAAAGGCGUUGGAAGCCAGUAGUUUGAAAGAAAAAUAGCUUUCCAAAGGCUUUCGCUUUGUAAAAACUAAAUGGUGCCUUUUGGAAUACAAUGUGAACAUAACUUUUCCAAGGAUUUAAGGUGUUGAUGAGAAAGACAUUCUGAGACCUGCCAGCAGAUGGAGCCAUAAAACAAGAAAUAGAUGUUUACAGCCUCAACUCGGGAGAAAAAUACCGUGAAUGCACCUUACACUAUAGAAGUAACACUUUUCCCUCUGCUUUAUUUUCUCUAUAUGCUAAACUCCUUACUUGCCUCUGCUAAAGAACAUCGCUGGAGUGUCUUGGUGUGUGAAGUAUGAAAUAGUUUCUAAAGACAUAAGUUGUGAUAUAGCAAGACAGAGGCAAAACCCCUCAUUCUUCUGAGAGUGUAAACAUCAUGUCGCAAGAAGCUCACCUAAAAUUUGAAAAGGAAAACUCAACGAAAAUUUGAAAAGAAAUUCAAGGAAAAAAAAAUGUGACCUUUAAAAUUUCCAUGUUGACAGCACCACCAGGACCCCUUCUGGGAUCCGUUGCUAGGGAACAGGAGGAUCGGCAUGGCGGAGCACGUUGGUCUGAGCACAUGUGAGGUGUUUAGAAAACUGCAAGUCAUCCAGCACGGGAGCAACGCCAGGCACAGGCAGGGGAGUCGUAGGGGAUGAUGCUGCAGAAGGGACAGACCGGGUUCUAGAAGUUGGCGAGCAAGGAAAUGUGAGCAUCUGGACUGCCGAACGCACCCUGUUAAGUGCUACUCAUGUCGUUCUGAUUGGGCUGAAUUGAAGAGCUGCCCAGCCUCUCCCCUGGCCCUGAGACCCCUGACCUAGAGGGACUAACUAGAGGGACGGCAUGGCAAUGGCAAGUGUACCCAAGACAGCAUGCCCGGAGGUUUAUCCAGGAAUAUUCAUCCAGAGGGAAAGAGCAAUGGACGAUGAGCAUGUUGGACCAGAUGGGCACGUGUCCAAGUGCACCCUAUGGAAUGUAUCAGCAUCGGCCUCGCCUGGAAGCCUGAUAGAAAUGCAGAUUCCCAGGCCCUGCCCAGGCCUGCUGUAUCCGGAUCUCUUGGUGGUGGAGCCCAGGGAUCUGCAUGUCACGAGCUUGCUCAGAGUAUCUGUGAACUGAGUUCAAUCCACAGCCCUCUACUCCAAUGCUAGCCAGACCCUGGGGCCAUUGCCUCUCCCCCCACAUGCCCCUCCAUACUGUCAGCACCUCUGCAUUGUGGCCUUUCUGCCACCCCCAACCGACUUGGGGAUCCCAACCACCCACACCCAGGGGCCUGCACCAGACUGCAGAGUGUUGCCUGAGGGGACACAGUCCACAGUCAUCCUUUUCUCCUCUCCUUCCCAGUUAAUUCCAUUUUCCACGCCUCUCAUGGCGAUUCCUGAUCUUCACAGGCCCCAGAGCCUCUGACCCUGGUGUUCCCCCUGAGAAAAUGAGGCCAGGGUUUGUGAGCUGCCCAUGCCACACCUGUGCCUGCCUCAUCAUGUGGAGUCCCUUUAGCUCAGCUCUAGGGUCCCCCUUCUUGCUUCCUCAAAGAUCCUCCUCUCUCCCAAGUUCCUCUUCUUCUUCUCAAUACUUCUCUCUUCUGGGGCUUCCUCCUUGACACGUCAAUGUUGUCUAGCUGUCUUCAUCAAUUUUCUUUAUUAUUUUAUUUGUAUAUAUUGUAUUUUAUUUUAAGACAGAGUCUUGCUGUGUCAGCCA